RNAcentral lists this ribosomal RNA (208 nucleotides) under uncultured bacterium. RNAcentral describes it as "partial 16S ribosomal RNA". It matches the Rfam family "Bacterial small subunit ribosomal RNA", at positions 568 to 774 of the family's 1533-position model. The record is from RNAcentral.
UGCGUAGGUGGCAGGGUAAGUUUGAUGUGAAAUCUCCGGGCUUAACCCGGAAACUGCAUUGAAUACUAUUCUGCUCGAGGGUUGGAGGGGGGACGUGGAAUACUUGGUGUAGCAGUGAAAUGCGUAGAUAUCAAGUGGAACACCAGUGGCGAAGGCGAGUCCCUGGACAACUCCUGACACUGAGGCACGAAAGCUAGGGGAGCAAACA